This 385-nucleotide ribosomal RNA is filed under the name Otolemur crassicaudatus (thick-tailed bush baby). RNAcentral describes it as "partial 12S ribosomal RNA". It matches the Rfam family "Bacterial small subunit ribosomal RNA", at positions 800 to 1380 of the family's 1533-position model. The record is from RNAcentral. Lineage: Eukaryota; Metazoa; Chordata; Mammalia; Primates; Galagidae.
CCGUAAACCUAAAUAUCUAAUCAACAAAGUUAUUCGCCAGAGCACUACAAGCAACAGCUUAAAACUCAAAGGACUUGGCGGUGCUUUAUAUCCCCCUAGAGGAGCCUGUUCUAUAAUCGAUAAACCCCGAUAAACCUCACCACCCCUUGCUAAUUCAACCUAUAUACCGCCAUCCUCAGCAAACCCUGUUAAGGUAACAAAGUAAGCAAGAGAAUCGCACAUUAAAACGUUAGGUCAAGGUGUAGUCUAUGAGGUGGGAAGAAAUGGGCUACAUUUUCUACUUACCAUAGAACAAUUAACGCCAGCCCCUAUGAAACACAUUGGCAAAAGGCGGAUUUAGCAGUAAAUUAAGAAUAGAGAGCUUAGUUGAACAGGGCAAUGAAGC